RNAcentral lists this ribosomal RNA (417 nucleotides) under uncultured bacterium. RNAcentral describes it as "partial 16S ribosomal RNA". It matches the Rfam family "Bacterial small subunit ribosomal RNA", at positions 360 to 774 of the family's 1533-position model. The record is from RNAcentral.
AAUAUUGGUCAAUGGAGGCAACUCUGAACCAGCCAAGUCGCGUGAGGGAUGACUGCCCUACGGGUUGGAAACUUCUUUUUUUAGGGAAUAAGGUUAUCCACGUGUGCCUUUUUGCAUGUACCUUACGAAUAAGGAUCGGCUAACUCCGUGCUAGCAGCCGCGGUAAUUCGGAGGAGCCGAGCGGUAUCCGGAUUUAUUGGGUUGAAAGGAGGCGCAGGCGGAAUAGUAAGUCGGCGGUGAAAGUUUGCAGCUUAACUGUAAAAUUGCCGUUGAAACUGGUUUUCUUGGGUGUAUAUGAAGUAGGCGGAAUUUGUAGUGUAGCGGUGAAAUGCAUAGAUAUUACAAGGAAAUACGAUUGCGAAGGGAGCUUACUAAAAUACAUCUGACGCUCAGGCACGAAGGCGUGGGUAUCAAACC